GGUGGUGUCAUGCCAUUAUUGGCUGUUGGAUGGCAGGGGCAGUCUCAUAGCCUUUGCUUGUGUUUUCCCCAUGCCAAGUGGUUAUGGUGUGGCCUCAUAUGUUGUUCUCUUUGCUUGCCAAUUAAGUAAUCAAUUGGCUGGUUGUCAAUUGGUGUGCAUGGAUCCUGCCACUUGUAUGCAAAGGGCAUAUAAGUGGUGUUAUAGUUGUGUGUGUUGGCAGGCUUCAUGCUUGAUGCAUCGAAUUGUCGACCCAUCAUCCUCUUCAAUUUCCCCUAUGUAAACAUCGUAACAUGGGGGCACAUUCAAGAUCCUAUGCUAUAUACCUAUAUUGAUGGAAACUAGGUGUCUUGCCAUCCUUCAUAUGCCUUGUGUCCUUAAGAGGUACAGGUUAGACCUUAAUCAUGCCCUGUGUCCCAAGCAUCCUACCCAAACCUUCAUGGCUACAUUGGUGCAUUGGUAUUCAAUUGUGCUCUUAGAUGUGGAACCUUUUAUGGAUGCAUGCUCUCAACCUUUAUUCAUCCGAUGCUAUGCAUUUUACAUGCUCAACAUGCAUGAUGCUUGUGCUCCUUGUUGGCUUUCUCUAUCAACCCAUGUGAUGCCAACUAGGGUUGGGUCAUUUGGUCUACCUAAUGGUGAGCACCAAUCUACUCAUCCUACUAUUGGUGAUGUGCUCCUAGCUUUAAUUGGCUAGGUUAUUCCUUUAACACUAUUACUUUGAAAAAAUUUGUGUGCUUAGAGCAGGCCUAUGCUUGCAUACAUUAGCAUGGGAUAACAUCAUAGGAUUUCGAUCCUAUUCUAUUAGCAUUUGGGAUAGGAGUAAUGAUUGAUAGGGAACAAUCAGGGGCAUUUGUAUUUCAUAGUCAAAGAUAAAAUUCUUGGAUUUAUGAAAGAUGAACAACUGCCAAAGCAUUUGCCAAGGAUGUUUUCAUUAAUCAAGAAUGAAAGUUAGGGACUCAAAGAUGAUCAGGUACCAUCCUAGUCGCAACCAUAAAUGACACCAACUAGGGAUUGGUGGAUGUUAGUUUUAGGUCUCCACCGACACCCUAUAAGAAAUCAAAGUCUUUGAGUUUUAGGGGAAGUAUGGUCAUAAGUUGAAACUUAAAGGAAUUGAUGGCAGGGCACCACAAGGGUGGAGCCUAUGGCCUAAUUUGACUCAACAUAGGAAACUUACUAGGUUCAAACAUAGUAAAGAUUGACAAAUUGAGAGCUAUUUCUGAUUCUAUGGGUGGUGGUGCAUGGCUGUUCUUAGUUGGUGGAGUGAUUUGUUUGAUUAAUUCCUUUAACGAACGAAACCUCAGCCUACUAACUAGCUAUACAAAGGUGAUCCUUUGUAGCCAGCUUCUUAAGUGGACUAUGGUUAUUUAGACCAAGGAAGUUUAAGGCAAUAAUAGGUUAGUGAUGCUUUUAGAUGUUCUAGGCCAGAUGCAUGGUACAUUGAUGUAUUCAAUGAGUCUAUAGCAUUGGUUGAUAGGCUUAGGAAAUCUUUGAAAUUUCAUCCUGAUGGGGAUAGAUCAUUGCAAUUAUUGGUCUUCAAUGAGGAAUUACUAUUGAUUGUAAGUCAUCAGCUUGUGUUGACUACACUUUUACCUUUUGUAUACACCAUUCGUUGUUCCUACUAAUUGAAUGGUUCGAUGAAGUGUUCAGAUUAUGGCAACGUGGAUGGUUCAUUUCCUAUAAUGUUGUAAGAAGUCCACUGAACCUUAUCAUUUAGAGGAAGGAAAAGUUGUAACAAGGAUUCUAUAGGUGAACCUAUAGAAG
Molecule: ribosomal RNA, 1758 nt
Filed under: Durio zibethinus
Lineage: Eukaryota; Viridiplantae; Streptophyta; Magnoliopsida; Malvales; Malvaceae
Description: SSU rRNA
Rfam family: Eukaryotic small subunit ribosomal RNA (bases 536-1758)
Source: RNAcentral